Molecule: non-coding RNA, 72 nt
Organism: Microthyrium microscopicum
Lineage: Eukaryota; Fungi; Ascomycota; Dothideomycetes; Microthyriales; Microthyriaceae
Source: the annotation of a GenBank genome assembly
GGACUGUUGGCGCAAUGGUAGCGCGUUGGUUUUCGGCACCAAAGGUUGCGCGUUCGAGCCGCGUGCAGUCCU